AUUGAACGCUGGCGGCAUGCUUUACACAUGCAAGUCGAACGGCAGCGCGGGCUUCGGCCUGGCGGCGAGUGGCGAACGGGUGAGUAAUGCAUCGGAACGUGCCCAGUAGUGGGGGAUAGCCCGGCGAAAGCCGGAUUAAUACCGCAUACGACCUGAGGGUGAAAGCGGGGGACCGAAAGGCCUCGCGCUAUUGGAGCGGCCGAUGUCGGAUUAGCUAGUUGGUGGGGUAAAGGCUUACCAAGGCGACGAUCCGUAGCUGGUCUGAGAGGACGACCAGCCACACUGGGACUGAGACACGGCCCAGACUCCUACGGGAGGCAGCAGUGGGGAAUUUUGGACAAUGGGGGCAAGCCUGAUCCAGCCAUGCCGCGUGCGGGAAGAAGGCCUUCGGGUUGUAAACCGCUUUUGUUCGGGAAGAAAGCCUCUGGGCUAAUACCCCGGGGGGAUGACGGUACCGGAAGAAUAAGCACCGGCUAACUACGUG
This 484-nucleotide ribosomal RNA is filed under the name uncultured bacterium. RNAcentral describes it as "partial 16S ribosomal RNA". It matches the Rfam family "Bacterial small subunit ribosomal RNA", at positions 28 to 507 of the family's 1533-position model. The record is from RNAcentral.